Molecule: ribosomal RNA, 3207 nt
Filed under: Triticum aestivum (bread wheat)
Lineage: Eukaryota; Viridiplantae; Streptophyta; Magnoliopsida; Poales; Poaceae
Description: partial small subunit ribosomal RNA
Source: RNAcentral
AUGGACGACAGCGCCAUUGGCGAGAAGCGCCUGCUGGAGCCGGAGGAUCGGGAAAGCCCGGGCGGAGUCGCCGAGGAGGAGGUGGGGGGCGCGCAGGUCGGUGCCGAACCGGCGCCCGUUGCGGCCGCCGCGGAGGUGGGCGGUAGCGGCGAGAUCUUGGAUGCCAGAGAAGGGGACGCGGCCGAGGCGGUUGUGCAGGCGCAGGAGGGUGGCGGCGGUGAGGUUGUGGAGGUCAGACAAAGGGACGUGGGUGUCGAGGAGGUGGUGUCCGAUGUGGCCUGGGCUGAGGCGACCAUGGAUCCAUCGGCAGGCUAUGAUCAACAGGCUGCUCGGAACGGGCCGCCGACGGCGGUGGAGUCCGACGAGGAUGCUGAUCUGUUUGUGGAGGUGGAGCAGCAGGAGCUGGCUGGUUCAGAUCAGAGCGAGGAGUUUUUUCACAAUGCACAGGCUUCGGUGACCGGAGAAUCUGUCGCUGCUGAGUGCGAGGCAAUUGAGGAUUACAGGCCUGCCGAGAUUGGUGUCGAGGAUGAUGCGCACGACGAGCAUCGGGAGCGCUUAGAGGAGGAAGCCAUGUUGGAAGCCAUCAGGCUGUGUGUGACAGAUGCUGUUUUGGCUGAACAUCUCGAUGAGGAACCUGAGAAGGGCAGGGAAGAUGUUCCUGCCUGUGAUAUCAAUCCUGAGCUCCCCAUGAACUCUAGUGAACCUGAACAGGUUCAAGAAGCUAUGUUGGUUGAUCAGAGCAAAGAGCAGCCAGAAUAUAGCAAGGGAGAUACUGCUGCCCAUGAUAGCAAGCUUGAGGUCCCUACACAAUCUGGAGGCGAGCCUGAUGUGGUGGUCGAGGAAUUGGAUGAUUCAAACUCCUCUGGUGAUGAGAAUAAGGCUAGCUCUGCUCCUGCACGAUCCUCUAGUGCUGCAGCAGGUCAGGCUAAUGGCCCCUCUUUGCUGGCUCGUCCUGCUGGCCUUGGAGCAUCCUCUUCCUUGUUGCCUCCGGCCCGACCUGUUCAGCAGGUCCGUGCUAAUGGUCCAGUCGCUGUGGACAGGGACACUCGGCAGGAUACUGAAUCUGCUGGGGAUGAUGGAGAUGAGAAUGAUGAAAUCCGGGAGAAGCUCCAGAUGAUCCGGGUUAAGUUUCUGCGUCUUGCUAACAGGUUUGGGCAAACGCCUCACAAUAUGGUGGUCUCGCAGGUUCUUUACCGGCUCGGGCUGGCAGAACAGAUUAGAAGAAACGGUCGUGGUGUUUUUAACUUUGGCCGAGCACAAGAGAUAGCAGAACGGCUUGAAGCUGCUGGAAAUGAGCCCCUUGAUUUGUCAUGCACCAUACUGGUUCUUGGUAAAACUGGGGUUGGCAAGAGUGCUACUAUAAAUUCAAUUUUCGAUGAUGUCAAGCUAGAGACUGAUGCUUUUGAAUCCAGCACCAGAAAAGUUCAAGAAGUAGUUGGUAUGGUUGAGGGAAUCCAAGUAAAAGUGAUUGAUACACCUGGCCUUUCAUCCUCAUCUUCAGACCAGCAGUACAACCAGAAAGUUCUCAAUUCUGUGAAGAAAAUUGUGAGCAAAAAUCCUCCUGAUAUUGUUCUUUAUUUUGACCGACUGGAUCUGCAGAGUAGGGACUAUGGUGAUGUACCUCUGUUGCAGACCAUUAGCAAAGUUUUUGGAGCCUCGGUCUGGUUCAAUGCUAUAGUAGUGUUAACUCAUGCUGCAUCUGCACCACCAGAUGGACCAAAUGGAAUUCCUCUGAGUUAUGAGAUGUUUGUCACCCAGAGGUCCCAUGUAGUCCAGCAAGCUAUAAGGCAGGCGGCUGCUGAUGUUCGUCUUAUGAAUCCAGUCGCUCUGGUGGAAAACCACUCAGCUUGCAGGACAAAUAGGUCAGGCCAGAGAGUGUUGCCAAAUGGACAAGUCUGGAAGCCACAGUUGCUAUUGCUCUGCUUUGCGUCAAAGGUUUUAGCAGAGGCUAAUUCGUUUCUCAAGUUGCAGGAUAGCCCCGCUGGUAAAACUUCUAGCACGAGGGUUGCUCCACUUCCUUUUCUCCUCUCUUCACUUCUUCAGUCUCGAGCUCCGCUGAAGUUGCCCGAGGAGCAGUUUGGCGAUGAUGAUGAUCUUGAAGAUGAUUUGGCAGAUGAUUGUGAUUCAGAUGAUGGUUCAGACUAUGAUGACCUGCCUCCUUUUAAGCGCCUCACUAAGGCUCAACUUUCAAAACUCAACCAUGCGCAGAGGAAGGCAUAUCUUGAGGAACUAGACUACAGAGAGAAACUAUUCUACAAAAAACAGCUGAAAGAGGAACAUAUGCGUCGUAAAAUGAUGAAGAAGAUGGCAGCAGAGGCCAGGGCCAGAGAAGAUGAUUAUGGUAACAGCAAUGUUGAUGACGAUGGCAGUACUCCGACCAAUGUUGCUGUGCCUAUGCCUGACAUGGUAUUGCCCUCGACUUUUGAUUCUGACUAUCCUAGCCAUCGCUACCGUUUUCUGGAUACGCCAAGUGAAUGGCUUGUGAGACCUGUGCUGGAGACCCAGGGAUGGGAUCAUGAUGUGGGUUAUGAAGGUCUAAACGUUGAGAGAUUAUUCGCUGUCAAAGGUAAAGUGCCUCUGUCUGUGUCUGGCCAGCUAACAAAAGACAAGAAGGACAGCUCCCUCCAAAUGGAGGUUGCAAGUUCUGUUAAGCACGGCGAGGGUAAAACUUCUUCAGUGGGGCUUGAUUUGCAGUCUGUUGGCAAGGACAUGGCAUACACAAUUCGUGGUGAGUCGAGAUUCAAGAACUUCAGGCGCAAUAACACGGCUGCUGGGAUAUCUGCGACGCUCCUUGGGGAUACCUUAUCAGCUGGUGUGAAGAUUGAAGACAGACUGAUAGUGAACAAGCAGCUGAGGCUUCUAGUAAGUGGUGGGACUAUGAGCGGGAAAGGAGACGCUGCGUACGGCGGACGUCUGGAGGCUACAUUGAGAGACAAAGACUACCCGAUUGGGCGCAUGCUUUCUACCCUCGCUAUCUCCGUCGUGGACUGGCACGGGGAUCUCGCCGUCGGGUGCAAUGCCCAGUCUCAGAUCCCUGCUGGAAGGUCUAGCAACGUGAUUGCCAGUCUGAAUGUGAGCAACAAGGGGACCGGGCAAGUCGGCAUCCGCCUGAACAGCUCCGAGCACCUGCAGAUCGCUCUCCUCGCCCUCGUGCCUAUAUUCAAGAACGUCAGGAAGUUGCUGGACAACUACUAUGAAUCUGCCUAG